GUUCAAUUAAAAUUAAUCAUAGCAAAAUAAAUAAAUUUAAAUUACCCAUAAAUUUAUUUAUUUAUUUUUCCAUAUAAUUGCUUGCUUCUAAUAUGAAAAUAAACUUUAGGUAUAUAUAUAUUGCAAUUAUAUUGAUGAUCUAGAAUGUUCUAAUCCAAUAGUGAGGCUUGCCGUCCAAAUAGAAGCAUAAUAGUAAUCUCACCAACCGUAGAGUUUGAAGUCAAAAACCGAAGACUUCCAUAGAAUUCUACAAAAUGGCUACUUCUACAGAUGGAUUUAUUCUUUAGUUGAAGUGGAAAACACUCACACAUUGUAUUCCUUUGUGCAAGUCUAUUUUGAUUCAUGGAUCUUCAUCUUCCCACUUGGGAAAUUUUGACCUUAAGAUCACCAAUAAACUGCUUGACAUUUUUUUCUGACGAUCCAACGCUGGAUACUGCAUUCUCUACCUUCUCUUUAAUUUUCUCCAUAUUCUUUCUCAAGUCAUUGGCUGAUUUUCCACUCAUCAAACGGUUGAUCUUUUCUGCGAUUUCAUCUCUUCUGAUUGGCUUCCUAUCACAAAGAUUGAGCCCAAUCUUCCAAUCAUCAACCACUAACUUUCUAUUAGUAAUUUGAUCAGUAAACAGAGGAUAACACAAAAUUGGGACGUUAAACCAUAUAGACUCCAAUAUAGAGUUCCACCCACAAUGUGUUAGAAAACCUCCAACCUUUGGAUGUGAAAUAACUGAAAUUUGGCAGCACCAUGGCACAACCAAUCCCCUAUCUUUGAUCUCAUCUUCAAAUCCAACGGGUAGAAAAUGAGUAUCAUCAGAACCUAAAAUACCUGGACGAAGUACCCAAAUAAAACUCACUUCACUAAGCAAGAGCCCAUGGGCUAAUUCUGCAAGAUCCUCCUUGCUGCAAAAGGCAAGGGAGCCAAAUGAGACAUACAAAACUGAACCACGAGGCUUGGAUUGGAGCCACUGGGUGCAGUCUGAGUGAGACCACAGGCUAGUAGCCACAGUGGUCUUCGUGAACCCAUUCAGGAGGAAGGUUGGUCCGAUAGGAUAGAAUGGUUGUUUCUCUUGAAGGGCUGAGAUGGUUUUGGGUUCAAGUUCUUGUACUGUGUUGCAAAGAACAAAAUCUGCUUCUUUCACAUCCUCAAAUAUUGCCUUGUAGAUCAUCCUCACCGCCACACCUAUUGUAUUUGGAGCUUGAAGAUAUGAGGGUAAGUCCUUGGGCUCUAUACUAUCCACUCCUGGUAUAUAAUCUAUGGCGUCCUCUCGAUUAUCAUGGGAAGCAUAAUGAAGGUCCAAGUGAUAGUAGAUAGUGAAAACCAUAGCUGGUUCAGUCCAAAAUGAAACAUUAACAAGAUUAUACUUGUUAGCAAUCAUUGAUGGCCACACAAAGAAACUGUCCGCGAUUAAGCAAGUGACUUGUGGAUUUUUGAGCACUAACUUUCCAACAAAAUUAUCAACAUGAGCUGGGAAGACAUGUAUAAGGCCCUCCAUGUAUUGCUCUGAGUUGAGAAAUCUGUCAAACCCUAAAGGAAAUCCAUCAUUUAUGGUUGCAUAGUGUAUGUCAAGGCCAGAUUUACGAGCUUCAGUGAAGAUAUCGUCUUGGGUGGUAUUGGUAGGAGCAGAUUUCGUGAUCUGAAGGUGGAUUUUUUCUGUGUUGAUGAAGGUAAUGGUGAAGCCAUUGGAUGCUAGCUUUAUUGCAAGAUGAACAAAAGGGACGACAUGUCCUUGGAGAGGGCAGGGUACCAUGAUUGCAUGAGGCUUGUCUUGUGUAUCCUCCAUCUCCGAGCCUGUGU
This 1789-nucleotide unclassified non-coding RNA is filed under the name Hevea brasiliensis (rubber tree). The record is from RNAcentral. Lineage: Eukaryota; Viridiplantae; Streptophyta; Magnoliopsida; Malpighiales; Euphorbiaceae.